Non-coding RNA from Pelobates cultripes (western spadefoot toad), 210 nucleotides. NCBI's taxonomy places the organism in Eukaryota, Metazoa, Chordata, Amphibia, Anura, Pelobatidae. The record is from the annotation of a GenBank genome assembly.
CCUAUGCAUUCCCUCCGACUCCUCUCAUUUUCCCACUUCUGAGGAGACUACGACAAGAGAAGGUAUCUUUAAUUCUGAUAGCCCCCUUUUGGCCACGCAGACCUUGGUUUCCUCUUCUAUUAAGUCUCUGCAAGAAAGGCCCAUGGCGUCUACCGGAAGUUUCAUUCCUACUGCAACAGGGUCCCAUCCUUCAUCCAAAUCCAGCAUCCC